Molecule: long non-coding RNA, 432 nt
Organism: Homo sapiens (human)
Lineage: Eukaryota; Metazoa; Chordata; Mammalia; Primates; Hominidae
Gene: ST8SIA5-DT
Product: ST8SIA5 divergent transcript
Source: Ensembl
CCGAGGGGUCCGCGUAGCGCAUCCUGGCUACCGGGCGCCGCGGGCGCGGGGUACGGGGCGGCCAGGCAAUGACUCGCGGGGUUCCGGGGCCCCGGGGGGCGCGCGGCCGACUUGGCGCCUCACGGUGCGGUCAGGCAGGCGCCGGUGCCGGGUAGCCGCCGAUUUCCCCGCGGAGGGGAGACGCCAGGUGCCACGAGCCGGAGGCGGCCCCUCCCGCCGAGGUGGCGGCCAAUGGGGAGCAAGACCCGGGCUCCGUCCCCUGUGCGCCCCAGCGCGCCGCGCAUCGACCCCUCCAGUCCGGCGCCGGAUCGCGGUUGCCCAGCGCGCUGUGCCCUGCCGGGGGCGGGCCACGUUUGAUCUCCGGGCCCGCAGCAAGGGAUCGCGAAGGUUGGCCUCCGGUUCUGCCGAUAGGGACGGGGGGAGGGGGCGUAC